UAUAUACUCCCUUCGUUCCACAAAAGAUGUCUCAAGUUUGUCAAAAUUUGGAUGUAUCUAGCCACGACUUAUGCAUAAAUGCAUUCAAAUAUAGUUAAAGUUGAGACAUCUUUUAUUGGACGGAGGGAGUAUAUG
Brachypodium distachyon (stiff brome) is the source of this 135-nucleotide non-coding RNA. NCBI's taxonomy places the organism in Eukaryota, Viridiplantae, Streptophyta, Magnoliopsida, Poales, Poaceae. The record is from Rfam.